GUCAGGAUAGCUCAGUUGUUAGAGCAUGAGAUGCUUAUUAAUCUCAGGGUCAUGGGCUCGAAUCCCAAGUUGGGCA
Molecule: non-coding RNA, 76 nt
Organism: Podarcis lilfordi (Lilford's wall lizard)
Lineage: Eukaryota; Metazoa; Chordata; Lepidosauria; Squamata; Lacertidae
Source: the annotation of a GenBank genome assembly